UGGGAUUAAGACUUAGUUGUUGUUUUGUCCCACAAGACCUUCAUCCAAGAUUCAUCAAUGAUUGCAAUGCCUAUUAAGUUAGUAGUUUUGUUGGUGAUUACAUGAGCAAAAUGUUGUGAUGACAAUGAAGCUAUAAGAAAGAUUUAUUAAUAGGAUUUGCCCAAUUGCAAAAAUUUAAUUGAAAUUUUUUAAUCACAUUUUUCACAAUAAUUUAAUAAAUGAUGAAAAUGUCAAUUUUGACCUUUGUCAUAGUUUAAUUUGUCUAUUAAUAUUUUUAGUAUGAUAGGUGACAUUUUUUUGUUAAUAGAUGUGAAUUGUAUACAAAUUUAUAAAUUAUAUUUAGUAAAACUUUGCUUUUAAUUUACUUUAAAUAUUCAUAUCAAAUCAAAUACAAAAAAUUGCGUGAAAUUAACACUUUGUUCUUGCAAUCAAACAAAGAAUGGAUUGGUUCAGUUAUUAUACUCGUUUCCAUUGUUUGUUUAAUUGUAUUCUCCGCUGUGUUUCAGUACUGAAUAUAAUCUUUAGGUGGAUCUCUUGGUAAUUUGUGAAUUCAAGGCAAGAUAAAUGACACAGCAAAUAUUGGUGGUGUGAGUGGCACAAAUGUCUCAUUUGGCUGCCGUACGGUAUGUAAUGGCAGUUACUCAACCAGGGCUGUGGAUGGAUAACACAUAUAAAUGGAACGAAUUUGAAUAAGUUGAUGUUGAAAUGACUACUAGCUUUUACAAAAUCAAAUGUAAGUGAAAGAUAAUGCUGCAAAACCCUGAUUGAAGCAAAUGGAAUGUGCAAUAAGAAUAGAAGACAAUGGGAAAUUGUGACUCUGUAAUGUUAUGUUGGGAAGAAAGAAACCUAAUGCACUUUGAAGUUUUUGAAACAAAAUCCUAAUGCCUUAUAUUGUGUCUGUCAUUGGCACAUAAAACUUUAUUUCCUGCAGCAUUAAGCUUUAAUUAUGCUUCAAAUGAGAUGGAUGAUUGUAAUUGAUAGUUAUUUUAGCAGUAAUUUUGUAACCUUUGUUUUAAGAGAUGGGGAUUGUAAUGGAAGCUGUCCGAUAGAUUAAACAAGCUUGGAGAGCACCCUUUUUUGGUCUUCCUCAAAGCUAUAAACAUUAUAUUGUGAUUAAAUAUAAAAUUUGAAUAUGGAUAUGCUAGGCUUUAUAGUUUUUAAUGUUGCCAUUUCAUUUUUUCUUUUCCAUAUUCUUCUUCUCUCUAUUCUUAUGUCCUAUUAUUAUAUUUCUUUUCCCUAGUGGAAAUCAGUCCACUGUCAUUGGU
RNAcentral lists this unclassified non-coding RNA (1265 nucleotides) under Hevea brasiliensis (rubber tree). Lineage: Eukaryota; Viridiplantae; Streptophyta; Magnoliopsida; Malpighiales; Euphorbiaceae. The record is from RNAcentral.